This 467-nucleotide ribosomal RNA is filed under the name uncultured bacterium. RNAcentral's name for it is "bacterial SSU rRNA". It matches the Rfam family "Bacterial small subunit ribosomal RNA", at positions 29 to 506 of the family's 1533-position model. The record is from RNAcentral.
ACGAACGCUGGCGGCGUGCUUAACACAUGCAAGUCGAACGGUGACCUCGGAGCUUGCUCCGGGUGAUCAGUGGCGAACGGGUGAGUAACACGUGAGUAACCUGCCCCAAGACUCUGGGAUAACCCCGGGAAACCGGAGCUAAUACCGGAUACGACACGAAGAGGCAUCUCUAUCGUGUGGAAAGUUUUUCGGUCUGGGAUGGACUCGCGGCCUAUCAGCUUGUUGGUGAGGUAACGGCUCACCAAGGCGACGACGGGUAGCCGGCCUGAGAGGGCGACCGGCCACACUGGGACUGAGACACGGCCCAGACUCCUACGGGAGGCAGCAGUGGGGAAUAUUGCACAAUGGGCGAAAGCCUGAUGCAGCGACGCCGCGUGGGGGAUGACGGCCUUCGGGUUGUAAACCCCUUUCAGCAGGGAAGAAGCGAAAGUGACGGUACCUGCAGAAGAAGCACCGGCUAACUACGU